Molecule: microRNA, 22 nt
Filed under: Echinococcus granulosus
Lineage: Eukaryota; Metazoa; Platyhelminthes; Cestoda; Cyclophyllidea; Taeniidae
Description: egr-miR-10248-5p
Source: miRBase by way of RNAcentral
GUGAGAAUACUGGACUAGGAUG